GACGAACGCUGGCGGCGUGCUUAACACAUGCAAGUCGAGCGGUAAGGCUCCUUCGGGAGUGCACGAGCGGCGAACGGGUGAGUAACACGUGAGCAAUCUGCCCUUCUCAUCGGAAUAACCAUUGGAAACGAUGGCCAAUGCCGAAUACGACUUCCUUUCGCAUGUCAGGAAGUGGAAAGCUCCGGCGGAGAAGGAUGAGCUCGCGGCCUAUCAGCUUGUUGGUGAGGUAAUGGCUCACCAAGGCGACGACGGGUAGCCGGCCUGAGAGGGUGACCGGCCACACUGGGACUGAGACACGGCCCAGACUCCUACGGGAGGCAGCAGUGGGGAAUAUUGGACAAUGGGCGAAAGCCUGAUCCAGCAACGCCGCGUGAGGGAUGACGGCCUUCGGGUUGUAAACCUCUUUCAGCAGGGACGAAGCGAAAGUGACGGUACCUGUAGAAGAAGGACCGGCCAACUACGUGCCAGCCGCCGCGGUAA
RNAcentral lists this ribosomal RNA (480 nucleotides) under uncultured bacterium. RNAcentral describes it as "partial 16S ribosomal RNA". It matches the Rfam family "Bacterial small subunit ribosomal RNA", at positions 28 to 523 of the family's 1533-position model. The record is from RNAcentral.